Molecule: long non-coding RNA, 599 nt
Organism: Zingiber officinale
Lineage: Eukaryota; Viridiplantae; Streptophyta; Magnoliopsida; Zingiberales; Zingiberaceae
Exons: 2
Source: RefSeq, a predicted model, not a curated record
GACUAGAUAAUUUAGGUAUAAAAGGGAAAAAGUUAUGCUACCGUGCACUGUAGCCCUAAACGCUGACUCCUUCGAUCGGCGAUCUCUUCUUCUUGUCCAAACUCGUCGGCUGCGACGGAGCAUCCCACCAAGCUCUAAGCUCCGACUAAGCGAAGCACCACGUCUCCGACCCUGGGGACAUCAUGAUCGGGAAAUCUCAUCGGCGGUGAGGUAACGCUUGGUGUGGGCUUUCAGCGGAAGCACAAGGAAAGGCAAGUACAUGUCUAUUUGAGGAUGUGAGAUCCAUACGGUAGAGGAUAGGAGCCUAGGUGAGGAUGUGUCUCAGAACACGACGGAGGGCCUAUGGACGGAGUAGCCGAGGAGGCGGGAUGGACGCAUGGCAGUGUCCGGGUAUUAGGAGUGCCGAGCUUAUGUUCUCCAUGGGAAGGGAUUUUUGUUUUGGUGUUGUCGAGCUCUUGUGUGGGAUGUUGGCUUUUACUUCCGAUAAAAUAAAUGUUUGAUUUGGUAUCAUGUUAUAAGUAUAUGCCUAGUUUGUGUUUGGUGGGUUGAUGCAAUGAAAAAAAAAAACUGAGGGUUGGUUACGGGAUGUUUCAGUUCUA